CAGUCGCCGCGGGAACACGUAGGUGGCAAGCGUUGUCCGGAAUUAUUGGGCGUAAAGGGCCCGCAGGCGGUUUCUUAAGUCUGAUGUGAAAGCCCCCGGCUCAACCGGGGAGGGUCAUUGGAAACUGGGAAACUUGAGUGCAGAAGAGGAGAGUGGAAUUCCACGUGUAGCGGUGAAAUGCGUAGAGAUGUGGAGGAACUCCAGUGGCGAAGGCGACUCUCUGGUCUGUAACUGACGCUGAGGAGCGAAAGCGUGGGGAGCGAACAGGAUUAGAGACCCCUGUAGUCCCUGUCUCUUAUAC
RNAcentral lists this ribosomal RNA (301 nucleotides) under uncultured bacterium. RNAcentral describes it as "partial 16S ribosomal RNA". It matches the Rfam family "Bacterial small subunit ribosomal RNA", at positions 509 to 807 of the family's 1533-position model. The record is from RNAcentral.